Molecule: ribosomal RNA, 591 nt
Filed under: uncultured bacterium
Lineage: Bacteria
Description: bacterial SSU rRNA
Rfam family: Bacterial small subunit ribosomal RNA
Source: RNAcentral
UGAGUGCAGAAGACGACAGUGGAACUCCAUGUGUAGCGGUGGAAUGCGUAUAUAUAUGGAAUAACACCAGUGGCGAAGGCGGCUGUCUGGUCUGCAACUGACGCUGAGGCUCGAAAGCAUGGGUAGCGAACAGGAUUACAUACCCUGUUAUUCCAUGCCGUAUACGAUGAGUGCUAGGUGUUGGAGGGUUUCCGCCCUUCAGUGCCGGAUCUAACGCAUUCAUCACUCCGCCUGGGGAGUACGACCGCAAGGUUGAAACUCAAAGGAAUUGACGGGGGCCCGCACAAGCGGUGGAGCUUGUGGUUUAAUUCUAAUCUACACGAAUAACCUUACCAGGUCUUGACUUCUUGCGCUAACCUUAGAGAUAAGGCGUUCCCUUCGGGGACGCAAUGACAGGUGGUGCAUGGUCGUCGUCAGCUCGUGUCGUGAUAUGUUGGGUUAAGUCCCCCACCGAGCGUUACCCUUGUUACUACUUGCCAGCAUUAUGUUGGGCACUCUUAGUGACACUGCCGGUGACAUACCGGAGGAUGGUGGGGACGACUUCUUAUCGUCUUGCCUCUUAUGAUCUGGGCUACACACCUGCUACCAUGG